ACCAGGAUGGCCGAGUGGUAAGGCGUGGACUCAAAUUCAAAUUUACGGAUGUACGCGUGGGUUCGAACCCCACUCCUGGUA
RNAcentral lists this transfer RNA (81 nucleotides) under Nematostella vectensis (starlet sea anemone). It matches the Rfam family "tRNA". Rfam says of the family: Transfer RNA (tRNA) molecules are approximately 80 nucleotides in length. Their secondary structure includes four short double-helical elements and three loops (D, anti-codon, and T loops). Lineage: Eukaryota; Metazoa; Cnidaria; Anthozoa; Actiniaria; Edwardsiidae. The record is from Rfam by way of RNAcentral.